GGGCCCGUAGUCUAGCAGGUAGGACGUCGCCCUCACACGGCGGAGGUCCGGGGUUCGAAUCCCCGCGGGCCCACCA
This 76-nucleotide transfer RNA is filed under the name Hestiella acidicharens (SeqCode). Its description in RNAcentral is "Candidatus Hestiella acidicharens tRNA-Val". It matches the Rfam family "tRNA". From Rfam's summary of the family: Transfer RNA (tRNA) molecules are approximately 80 nucleotides in length. Their secondary structure includes four short double-helical elements and three loops (D, anti-codon, and T loops). Lineage: Archaea; Thermoproteati; Thermoproteota; Thermoprotei; Acidilobales; Acidilobaceae. RNAcentral also lists the same sequence under 1 other name. The record is from RNAcentral.